UUGCUUGGGCAGCACAUCUACUAAAAUUGGAGCCAUACAAAGAAGAUUAGUAUGGCCCCUGCACAAGGAUGACAUACCAAUUUGUGAAACAUUCCAUAUAUAG
Jaculus jaculus (lesser Egyptian jerboa) is the source of this 103-nucleotide small nuclear RNA. NCBI's taxonomy places the organism in Eukaryota, Metazoa, Chordata, Mammalia, Rodentia, Dipodidae. The record is from RefSeq and is a predicted model, not a curated record.